RNAcentral lists this ribosomal RNA (428 nucleotides) under Pseudoramibacter alactolyticus. Its description in RNAcentral is "bacterial SSU rRNA". It matches the Rfam family "Bacterial small subunit ribosomal RNA", at positions 28 to 445 of the family's 1533-position model. Lineage: Bacteria; Bacillati; Bacillota; Clostridia; Eubacteriales; Eubacteriaceae. The record is from RNAcentral.
GACGAACGCUGGCGGUAUGCUUAACACAUGCAAGUCGAACGAGAAGUUUUUUAUUGAACCUUCGGGGGAUAUAAGAGACAGACAGUGGCGAACGGGUGAGUAACGCGUGGGCAACCUACUAUCGGAGCGGGAUAGCCUCGAGAAAUCGGGAGUAAAACCGCAUAACAGGAUAUAUCGCAUGAUGAAUCGUCAAAACUCCGGUGCCGAUAGAUGGGCCCGCGUCUGAUUAGCUAGUGGUAGGUAAGGGCUUACCAAGGCAACGAUCAGUAGCCGGUCUGAGAGGGCGAACGGCCACACUGGAACUGAGACACGGUCCAGACUCCUACGGGAGGCAGCAGUGGGGAAUAUGCGCAAUGGGGGCAACCCUGACGGAGCAAUACCGCGUGAGUGAAGAAGGUUUUCGGAUCGUAAAGCUCUGUUAUUGGGAA